GACGAACGCUGGCGGCGUGCCUAACACAUGCAAGUCGAACGGAGUCCGGCCCCCGCAAGGGACUGACUUAGUGGCGAACGGGUGAGUAACGCGUGAGCAACCUGCCUUUCAGUGGGGGACAACAGUUGGAAACGACUGCUAAUACCGCAUAAUGCAUUUUGACCGCAUGAUCGAGAUGCCAAAGAUUUAUUGCUGAAAGAUGGGCUCGCGUCUGAUUAGAUAGUUGGUGGGGUAACGGCCCACCAAGUCGACGAUCAGUAGCCGGACUGAGAGGUUGAACGGCCACAUUGGGACUGAGAUACGGCCCAGACUCCUACGGGAGGCAGCAGUGGGGAAUAUUGGGCAAUGGGGGAAACCCUGACCCAGCAACGCCGCGUGAAGGAGAAGGCUUUCGGGUGUAAACUUCUUUUACCAGGGACG
This 420-nucleotide ribosomal RNA is filed under the name uncultured bacterium. Its description in RNAcentral is "bacterial SSU rRNA". It matches the Rfam family "Bacterial small subunit ribosomal RNA", at positions 28 to 447 of the family's 1533-position model. The record is from RNAcentral.